UACGGUGAAUACGUUCCCGGACCUUGCACACACCGCCCGUCAAGCCAUGGAAGCCGGGUGUACCUAAAGUCGGUAACCGUCAAAGGAGCCGCCCAAGGUAAAACUGGUAACUGGGGCU
Molecule: ribosomal RNA, 118 nt
Filed under: uncultured bacterium
Lineage: Bacteria
Description: partial 16S ribosomal RNA
Rfam family: Bacterial small subunit ribosomal RNA
Source: RNAcentral